AACGAACGCUGGCGGCAUGCCUAACACAUGCAAGUCGAACGAGAUCUUCGGGUCUAGUGGCGCACGGGUGCGUAACGCGUGGGGAUCUGCCCUUUGGUUCGGAAUAACAGUUGGAAACGACUGCUAAUACCGGAUGAUGACGAAAGUCCAAAGAUUUAUCGCCAGAGGAUGAGCCCGCGUAGGAUUAGCUAGUUGGUGUGGUAAAGGCGCACCAAGGCGACGAUCCUUAGCUGGUCUGAGAGGAUGAUUAGCCACACUGGGACUGAGACACGGCCCAGACUCCUACGGGAGGCAGCAGUGGGGAAUAUUGGACAAUGGGCGAAAGCCUGAUCCAGCAAUGCCGCGUGAGUGAUGAAGGCCUUAGGGUUGUAAAGCUCUUUUACCCGGGAUGAUAAUGACAGUACCGGGAGAAUAAGCUCCGGCUAACUCCGUGCCAGCCGCCGCCGUAA
This 449-nucleotide ribosomal RNA is filed under the name uncultured bacterium. Its description in RNAcentral is "partial 16S ribosomal RNA". It matches the Rfam family "Bacterial small subunit ribosomal RNA", at positions 29 to 523 of the family's 1533-position model. The record is from RNAcentral.